This 750-nucleotide ribosomal RNA is filed under the name uncultured delta proteobacterium. RNAcentral's name for it is "bacterial SSU rRNA". It matches the Rfam family "Bacterial small subunit ribosomal RNA", at positions 9 to 735 of the family's 1533-position model. The record is from RNAcentral. Lineage: Bacteria; Deltaproteobacteria.
UANUUUGAUGCUGGCUCAGAACGAACGCUGGCGGCGUGCUUAACACAUGCAAGUCGAACGCGAACGAGUUCUUCGGAACUUUAGUAGAGUGGCGCACGGGUGAGUAACGCGUAAGUAAUCUACCCUCGCAUCUGGGAUAACCCACCGAAAGGUGUGCUAAUACCGGAUACGUCUAUGUUAAUAUCUUUUUUAUAGAGAAAGGUGGCCUCUGAUUCAAGCUACUGUGCGGGGAGGAGCUUGCGUACCAUUAGCUAGUUGGUAGGGUAACGGCCUACCAAGGCGACGAUGGUUAGCGGGUCUGAGAGGAUGAUCCGCCACACUGGAACUGAAACACGGACCAGACUCCUACGGGAGGCAGCAGUGAGGAAUAUUGCGCAAUGGGGGCAACCCUGACGCAGCGACGCCGCGUGGAUGAUGAAGGCCUUCGGGUUGUAAAAUCCUGUCAGAUGGGAAGAAGUGCUAUAUGGUUAAUAUCUGUAUAGUUUGACGGUACCAUCAAAGGAAGCACCGGCUAACUCCGUGCCAGCAGCCGCGGUAAUACGGAGGGUGCAAGCGUUGUUCGGAAUUACUGGGCGUAAAGCGCGCGUAGGCGGCUAUGUAAGUCAGAUGUGAAAGCCCGCGGCUCAACCGUGGAAGUGCAUUUGAAACUGUAUAGCUUGAGUACUGGAGGGGGUAGUGGAAUUCCCGGUGUAGAGGUGAAAUUCGUAGAUAUCGGGAGGAAUACCGGUGGCGAAGGCGACUACCUGGCCA